CUUCAAACUGUCAGUGUUGGACCAUGAUAGAGCCGGCCCCGCCCUGGACUUGGGCUUUUAGGCCUGGUCCAGAGAGGGCCAGGGUUGGGACUCGCCUAAAUACUUAUCGUUCCACCGGUCGAAGGAGGGCCGGUCCAUUACCAGCUCUAUUUAGUAAUCAUAAACCCUAGAAUGGAAUCUCUAUUCAGGAGUCAUAAACCCUGGAAUUAAGCGUCAUUCUCGACGCUGGUUGAACUGCUCAUCUCUCACUCUCUGCGACCAGAAGCUCCCUCUAUCUACCGAUGCCCCUCCCCUCUCUCUCAGCCCUGCCGAGCCGCUCCUUUAUCCCCCUGCAACCCCAAGUUUUAUCUCUCUACCCUUUCACUCUCUUAUUCAACCCCAGUCGAGCCCCUCGUUUUACAGAUAGAGAGAGAGAGAGCCCCUCGUUUUUCUCACGCCCUUAUUUCCUCUCUCUGUAACCUCCUUUUUCUAUUCAUAUCCCUCUUCUUGUUGCUGUCUCUCUCUCUCUCUAUCUGUCUUGCUCUCUUUCUUCAAGCUGUAGCCCUUAUUUGUUGUCCCCAUCCCUCAUAUUUUUCCGUCCUCUCUCAUCAAGCCCUCAGCGAAAUUUCAGAUAUCCAUGUUUGCACAAAUGGGAAAUUGCCAGCAGCGGACUUCCUCUGUUUUUCCAAAAGAGGAAGUGCAGAAAAAUUAGUUAUGUAUGAUCUAGAGAGAGGACACCAUAUUUCAGAGAGAAAAUUUGGAGAGAAGUAAUUUAGAGAGAAGGAUGUACUCCUCAAUACCUUAUCGAAGAAGCAGGAAGUGGACUCCAUCAUCAGAGAUACCCUACCCUUGCAAAGUUCUCGUUCUUCAAUUUGGCAGGCCCCUGCAUGUAUCCGACUUUACUAAAUGAUAGUGGAAUGUGGCCUGAUGAUUAGUCACUUCGCUUUUAUAUGCUUUUUUCUGACGAUCAGGUGUUGGUUUUCCAUUGAUGCAAAAAUGAUGGAGUCCAAGGUAGAUUAAUGACGGAUCUGGUGUUAGGUUUCUAUUGAUGCAAAAAAAGUUGGAGUUCAAGGUAGAUUAGUCGCGGAUCUGCCCAGAUUUUAGGCACACUGAAUUCUCUCUCUCUCUCUCUCUCUCUCUCCAUAUCUCUUUGGUGUCAUAGUGAAAGAGGUAGGGGCCUUUGUUGUUGUUUUCUUCUUUAUUUUGCCUCUUUCAUCCAGCCUCCCUAUCUUGUUUUCUUCGCUUAUUUUAUUGGUGACACUCAAUGUUGUUCACUAACACCCAACUUUUCAAAACUUUUUCUCAUUAGUUUUCCAUCUUGAUAUUCACAUUGAGUUUUUUUCCUCUUGUUUCUGCCUAUCUCUGAUUUACACCAUCUUUGUUUUUCUGUUAUUGCUUUCCUCAAAUUACUUAUUUUAUCAUGAAUAUUAGGAAUCUUUCCAUUUUAUUUCAUGUGAUCUACUUUCUGGAUCUAUUUUCAUCCUUUUUGUCUUUGAUCUGAUCUUUUUUUUUUAAUAUUAAAUUUCUGUUUUUUGGUGUGGUGAUGAUGCCAAUUGUGGAGUAGAGUGCAUAUAUAGUAUGUGCACUAUUUUUUGAAAGAAUAUUGUAUAUGCAUUACUGUUUUUUGCAUUUGAAUCAUAGAGAAAAUGAAAAUAAAAUACUCUGUAUUUGUUUAUGCGCCCUUUACCAAUUUUGGGGGCUUGAUUUGUGGUUCCCCCAGAUGUAAUGGCUUGGGCGCCAUACUAACUUUUGUGGCUAUUCUGAACGAUGGCGUUUUUCUGUUGCUGUUGUCCUGGGAAACUCCACAGACACUCUUUUUUUGUUUGCCCUUUAUCUUUAUUUUGAUAAUUUUGUAUUGUAGGCACCAUCCCUUUUACAUAUUUACAGUAUCUAGGGUUUUUGAUUAUAUUGUGUGUCCCAUCCCUUUCCAUAUUCACACUGUCUAGAGUUUUAGACUUUUCUUGUGUCCUUUAUUAAUGUUUCACUGUUGGAAUCGAUUUUGGGAGGGAGUUGUGUGGCACAGAGUUAUGAGGAAGGAAUAUAGCUUGUUCGAAUGUUUGAGAGCAUUGGUUACAGCAGGUAGUGCUUUUGAUAUGCUCCCUUGCAUGAAACGGUUUAUGUUCUUAGCUAUUGCAGUUUGGAAUCAAAUAGAUUACGGCUGAGGAACUUUAGAAUAGGAUGAAUGAGCAGUGGCCUUGAGCACAACCACAUUUGUCGAUAAUUCAGUGGUGUGGCUAUUCCCGUCAUUCUUGUUUGGCAAAUCUGGCCGGUAGCAUACUUCCAAUAAAAAAAAUCCCACACUAGUACACAUCAACGGGUGAAAAUAAUUCGUUGUUGUCAUACCACAAACUGUUUUUUUGUUUCGUUUUGAGUAAAUUUAUGGAAAAGAGUCUAGCACCGGUUGAAUAAAAAUGUGUGGCAAACAGGGGAGACUACAAAAUUAUUUUAAUUUGCAUCAAAUAAAUUAUAAUCUCAUGAGUUUUCCAUGUGUUAAUAUGCUUUUUUAUGUGUUUCAUAUUUUGAUUGAUUAUUUAUGCAGAUUAGUACGUUUUAGGUAUAUAGUUGCAAAUGGACUGUACAAUUUGGAUGCUUCUGCCACUUCUUAUACUUAGACGAACUCUUUUGUGAAACUUAUAUUGAAGAUGAUGUUUUCUUUUCAAUGCAUGUGAAUAAGCGAGCCUCUAAUCAUUUUUAUGUUAAGGAGCAUGAAUUGUAGUGAGAAAAUUAAUUGGCUAGAAAGUAUUGCAAUAUUGUAGUUUUACGCAUGGUGUUUUUUAGCAAAGGGAUUGUCUUUGAUAUUUUUCUAAUGGUUGCUUAAAUAGAUAUGAUGUUGACUUGAAGUUUUGAUUAAAUGAUGCUUGUAAAUAUCUCAUUUUAUUAUGCUCUAAAGAGGAAUAUCAGAAUAUGUAAAAGCACAAAUUAGAUAUUAGUCACACGCCCAACCAUAAGCAUGGUUUACUUUACUUCUAGUUAAGUGCUUGUCUCUAAGGAUUAAAAUUUUUAGCUUGUGAGCUAAAUGUGUUCCUUGUGAUGUGAAUGAUAAAAUUAUUCUCCUAUUGGCUUUUUCCGGGUUUUGCAGGUAUUGGGUUUCCAUUGAUGCAAAAAAUUGGUGGAUCCGCAUGUUUUUGUGUUGCCUUGGAUUCUUUCCCUCCCUCCCCCUCUCUCUGUUAUAAAGUGAAAAAGUACUGUGGUAUUUGAUGAGGAUGAAGAUUGCAGAUGAAGUCAGCAUGUAAUUUCAAAAGGAUGAGGAAUUUUGAGUAUGCAUAAUGUAGUGUGUUUUAAAGACAAGCAUUUUGAGUAUUUAAAUAAUGUAUUGAAUUAUUUUUAUUUUUAGUAAGGGACUUGUAAAUGGACCCAUUGAAGUUGUAAUUUCUAGUUUUUAAGGUUUGUAUAAGUCUAGCUUGUGGGUUGGUUGGAAUUUGUAUAUUACAGUUUUGUUAUGAAGCUUUUGUGUAUUCAAAACUUCAUGGUUUCAAAAAAGUGGAAAAUUUAUAAAUUGAGUUUCCAGCUCAUUGGUCUUAUAUAACCAACGAAUGGUAUCAAAGCACGAUUCUAAUAUUGUCCUUCUGUCGUUUAGUUUGGUCUAAAAGUAUGAUUUUCAAAGUGUGUAAGCACUUGAUCACGAAUGCCAAAGUGUAUGUGCCUUAAUUCUAGAAAAUUUAUAGUGUCAAUGGCAUGAGAAUUAUGACUUGCAAUUUUGAGAACUGCUCACUGGUUUAGACAUAGUGGUAGGACCUUCAUAUAAAAUGUUGAUAUUCUAUGGUAUUUUGUGUUUUUGAGUGUAGUUUCAUAAGGAAAACGUCCCAUGAUCAAAUCAUGUAUAUUUUGAAAGUUAUUAACAGUUUGUUGGAGUGUGCUAGUUUUGUGAAAUGAGUUUCCAAGAACUUGACACCUUUUUGCGUUAGGGGGUUUUAAGCAAUCAAAACAUAUGAUAUUGAGUUAGGGCCGACUUAUACUUUUUAGGAGUUGUGUCUAGUUUUAUGUGAAUUUGAGAUCAUAGAAAAAUUCUUCAUAUUUUAUGAGAUAUGGUCGUUUGAUCAGAAGUAAGUCAAACUGCAAUUUUUGCUACACUGUGCAGAAAUUGACCAAGGCCUUCUUGAUCAGUUAUUUCGUAUUACCCCCUAAUGUAAUUUGUUUCAUUUUGAGUGUAUUGUAACUAGGAAUAUGUCUCAUGAGUAAAUUUUGAAUAGUUUUAAAGUUAUGCCCAUAGAAGUGGGUCGUGCUCAUCUUGUAAAUCUAGAAAAACUGCAUGAACAAUGUCCUAGGUGUAAGUAGGGUGCGAGUACCUUACACUCUUGUAAUCCAACUAUGGAGCAUUAGUUGUUAGAAGUUUUUAUGACUUCAUAGGGUGUAUUAGAUCAGUGAGAGUGUUGUAUAAACCUUACUGAACCAUGUGCAUAAGAUUUAAUACUCGAUACCCGAGUCUUGGUCUAGAUCUGAGCUACUCUCGGAUAGUGUAUGCUGAUAUUGUCAACAAAGCCAAAUACACUUUAGGAUAAAUGAGACCAUGCGUACAGUAACAAAAGGGAGAAAGAAAUGGUGUAGUCAAAUCAUAGAUCGGAACAAAGGGGUUGGCACACUAUGAUUUGGUCCUUAUUAGACAUAAGGUAUGCCUUAUUUCUCCCUUUAUGCACGAGUUUAGUAUGUUGGGAAAUCUUUUGUCUGAGAACAACCAUCUUGAGCCUUUGAUAUCUUAUAAUUAAUGAUUAAUAUUCUAUCUUAGCAUGUUAUGUGAGUAUUAUGAUUGGAAAGCUUGGACUAGUCAUAUAAGCUAUAAACUUGAAAUAGGCCAAUAGUUCUAUAUUGAGAUAAUUGAGUGUUUGUGUCCACUUUUAUAUGAGUUAAAGACGCAAGACAUAUGUAUAAGUAUUUUGAUUUUAGAUCUAUGAUCUUAGAUUCAAAAUACGAAUCCGUUUGAUAUGGUUAAAUCAAGAAAUAUGGCAUAUGUUAGAGUUAUACCUGUGAUUACAUAAGCAUUAUGAAAUAUAUGAAAUUGUUAUUAUUUGUGGGGUGUUUUAUGACAUGAGAAUUUAUGAGAUGUAUCUUGAAUAUGUCAUUAGCAUUGGCUAGUCCUUAUGAUGCCUCAAACUACAUGUUUUAUUAUUUUGAGCUUUCCUAGAUGCCAAGAUAAUGUCAUGAUCUGUAUUAUCAUUUUGUGAAUACUUAGUUAUGCAAUAUAAUUCUUAUGUGUACAAGUGAGUAUAGAAAUUUUUUAUGAAUGGUAUAUGACGAUUAUUACAUAGCAUGUAGGGCUCAUUGGUCAUGAAAAAAUGUUUUCUUGUAAGAUUUUCCUUAAAGUUGCAUAUUUUUCACCAUUUUAGAAAUUGAGAACAACUGAAGCAAAAAGGGAUUCAUUGCGUUAAUGUUACCCAAUCAAUUAUUGAAAAAUAAAAAGUCUAACAUAGAGGUGCCCAGUAACUUUCACAAGCGGCAUUUUUCCAAGUGACUCAAGUCUUUCAGUGUGGCGCAAAAUCAAUACAAUGAUAGUUAUAGUGCAGCGGAAGAAAAUGGCUCAUAGGUUUAUAAAAAGAUCAAUUUCAAAUACGAGGUCAUUACGUUUUUUCCACAAAUCAAUCUUAUACAGCGCCUUUUCUAAAAUUUUCAAUAAGCAAAAUUGAUAUUAGAUAUAAAUUUUCCAAAAUCAAGACCAAGGUUUUCUUUGAGGAUGGUUUUACUACUUGAUUGAUCAAUGAUGCUCCCACUAAAACCAACAAGCUUGUCUUUCAAAAUAACUUGAAUUUACGGUUUUGGAAAUACAACUUUCUUUUAAGGAAUACUUUAAAGGUCUAAAAAAGAACACUAUUCAAAGAGACUCCAAAAGAUUAUGAUACACAAUUAUGUGGUCAUAGGAUAAUGCUAAACGAGUCUUUUUAGGGCGAUCAUCCAAAAGUGAAAGUAAUAUGGAGUUUUCCAUUGUCAUAACCCCAGUUUUCCAUAGUAAUACAUAAAAUGGGGUAGGUUCUCCUUUGGUUUAUAACGUCAUCUUUUGCUAAAACAUUUGAAAUCCGGAGAUCCUUGUUUAGAAAAAGAAGUGUUUUUGUUUUUAUUUUGAAGUUGUUUAACUGUAGAAAAACAAGUUUUUAAAUCAAAUUCCCUUUCAUGAUUUGUUCUCAAUUAUCACAUUCCUUGCAUAAGAUUCAUUUUGAUUCGGUUUGUUCUCAAUUUGAAAAAUAGUGAAAAACAUGCAACUUUAAGGAAAAUUUUAUUUCAUACAUGAAAACUCUUGUGCGAUCGUGUCCGUUCCUAUACGAUCUAGUCUUUUUUUCUGUUAUUACUCGAUCCUAUCCUGAUUUGACCUCUAAUUCUGUAGCUCAUCUUAGAAUCCUUUAAUCGAUAUCUACCCAAUCGUUUAAUAGAAUCAUGUUGGGAUCUAAGCAUCACAAAGUAUUCACGAAAGGGGAAUAUGAUAAUUGACUUUAUUAUCUUGACAUCUAUGAAAGCUCAAAAAGGUAUAAAGCAUGGAGCAUGAAACAACAUAAGGAUUAGUCAAUGCAAAUGACAUAAUCAAGAUACGUCUCAAGAGUUCGCAUGUUAUAAAACAGGCCACAAACAAUAACCAUUCCACAUGUAUCAUAAUACUCAUCUAAUCACAUAUAAUUCUUACAUAUGUUAUUUUUCUUGAAUUAGCUACAUCCAAUGGAUUGGUAUUUUAAAUUAGAGAAAAGAGAUCUAGAAUAAAAAUACAUGUAUAUUCUAUGUAUCGACUCAUAUUAGAGUGUGCACAAGCACCCAAAUAUUUCAAUAUGGAAGUAUUGACAUUUUUCAAGUUUAUAGCUUAUGUGACUAGCCCUUGCUUUCCAAUUAUAAUAAUCGUGUAAUAUGCUAAGAGAUACUAUUAAUCAUCAUAUGUUAUACCAAGAUAAUCCACCAAUCAAUAACCAUAAGAAAUCAUGGAGUGAAGUUUGUUUCUCUUGAAACAAUAAUUUGGCAAAAUAUUAGAGUUAUGCAUAAAAAGGUAAGGAAUAAUACCUUGUGAUCCCAUAGCUACGUCUUGUGGAGUGGCAAGCCUUUGCUUUCGAUCUCUGAUUUAUUUUCAUCUUCUCUUUCCCUUUUUUGUCAUUGUGCUCAUGGUCCAAUCUAUCGUAAUGUAUCUUUGGCCUUAUUGAGAAUAACAUCAUACACUUUUUGAAAGAAACUCGGAUCUUGACCAAUAUUCGGGUAUCGGGUAUUAAAUCUUAUAUUCAUGACUCAGUGGGAUUUAUACAGUCAUCCCACUGAUUUAAUACACUCUAUGAAGGCAUAAAACUUAUAACAACUGAUUCUCUAUAAUUGGAUUACAUUAGAGUAUAAGAUAUCUAUACCCUACUUACACUUAGAAUGUUGCUCAUGUAGUUUUUUUGGUUUUUCAGGAUGUGCAUCAUUCAAUCAUAUGGACAUAACUUUAAAUUUAUUCAAAAUUUACUCAUGGGACUUCUUCUCAGUUAUAAUAGGCUCAAAAUAGAAUAAAUUACAUUAAGUGGGUAUAUGAAAUAAUGGACCAAAAGGACACAAAUAGCUUGUGUCUCAGAGAGUUAAGUUUUGCAGUGUAUACCAGAAAACACAGGCUGACACACCUCUGAUAAAAUGACCAUUUCUCAUAAAAUAUGAGGAAUUUUUUUAUGAGCCCAAUUUUACAUGGAACUAGAUACAAUUCCUCAAAAGAGAAACUCGGCCCAAACUCAAGAUUAUAAGUUUUGAUUGCUCAAAACCCCCACAUACAAAAGUGCAAACUUCCUGAAAAUAACUAUACAGAUCAGACACUCU
Molecule: non-coding RNA, 7722 nt
Organism: Amborella trichopoda
Lineage: Eukaryota; Viridiplantae; Streptophyta; Magnoliopsida; Amborellales; Amborellaceae
Source: RefSeq, a predicted model, not a curated record